Prinia subflava (tawny-flanked prinia) is the source of this 1132-nucleotide long non-coding RNA. RefSeq lists it as uncharacterized. The record is from RefSeq and is a predicted model, not a curated record. The transcript has 3 exons. Lineage: Eukaryota; Metazoa; Chordata; Aves; Passeriformes; Cisticolidae.
GCCGCCCCCCGCAGCCCCACACGCGGCCCGGCUGAGGGGAUCGCGGCCCGGCGGCACCGCCCGGCCCGCAGCCACCGGCCCGGCCGAGCUCCCCCGCCCGCCGCCGCAGCGCAGGGCCCGGCGCCCUCGGCCGCCUUUCGGUUUCGGUUCCGCGCUGCGAGAGGAGGUAAUUUUGCUUUUCUUCGCUGGUUUAUUUUUCGGCGCGGCUACGAGCAGGAGCCGUAGGGCGGGGCUGCGGUAGCUGUUCGUUUCCCUUUCCCAGCCCGCUCUCCACGCCGCUUUUUCCUGGCGAUUUCUCUUUUUCCCCGCUGUUUUCCCCUCGCUGCCCGCGCCGCCUUUCGGGGCCGGCCCGCGCUCCGCGCUGAGGGCGGGCGGUGGCGCGGGGCACCACGGGAAGGGCUUUUCCCGCCGCCCGGGCCGGGAGAGGAGGAGGCGGCGCGGGGGCAGCGAGCGCGUCGGGCGAGCGGGGCAGCGGCGCACGGCGGCCCAGAGCCUUCUAGGAUGUGACCAUGGAGUGCCUGUCACUGCCAGUGACCUCCUGGCUGCUUAGAAGCCCCAGAGAGCUCUGCGAUGUCACCGUGGAAGCCCUGUGAGUGCAGCCUUUGACACCCUUGGAGAAUGUCGCUGUAGAUCCUGUGAGUGCCUGUGACAUUGCAGCUUUUUAACAGCAUGGAGACUUCUAGGAUGUCACCGUGGAACCCCUGUGAGUGCCAGUGACCUCACGGCUGCUUAGCAGCCUGGACACACUUGUGAUGCUGCUGUUGAGACCCUGUGACAGUCUGUGAAGUCAGUGUGGUUUGGCAAAGGGGAGACUCCUGGGAUGUCCCCAUGGAACCCCUGGGAUUGCCCAUGCCCUCAGUGUUCCUUAGGAGCUUGGAGACCUCUGGGAUGUGACCACAGAACCUCAGUGAGUGCCUGUGCCAAAUGGGCUCCUUAACAUGUAGAGACAUCUCUGUUGUCCUCAUGGACGCUGGUGACUGCCUGGGACCUCGCAAGUCUUUGGAAGAUGAAGGAGCUGUGGCGUGUCACCAUGGAGUCACUGUGCCUGUUUGUGAUCUCUCUGCUUCUGAGCAGGCUGGAGACAACUGUGAUGUGACCAGGGACUGGAGUGGGGGUGUGGUGGUUGAGGGAG